RNAcentral lists this long non-coding RNA (4017 nucleotides) under Musa acuminata (dwarf banana). Its description in RNAcentral is "long non-coding RNA (MACU_LNC001495)". Lineage: Eukaryota; Viridiplantae; Streptophyta; Magnoliopsida; Zingiberales; Musaceae. The record is from RNAcentral.
UCUCCUGUGACGUGAGGUUUUAAAGAAGAGCUCUGGCUACGUGACUUAAGGCCAGCAGCAUAUAGUACCAAGGAAACCUGAAAAGAAGAUAAAAAACAGACAUUAUAAGCAGGUGCAUGGAUAAUAAGAACCAUAUACAAUUUGAAUAAAGAUGCAUAUAACAAUGAGCAAUCAUCUUUUGCUUUCAGUUUUGAAAAUGAUGUCUUGCACAUCAAUAAUGAUAUCAUUUUCAGCUUUCUACAGUUUGAGUUAAAGAAAUUGGAUCCUUGUUGGGCUUUCUCCAGAUAAAUACAAUAAUAGGAAAAGAACUCCAUAGAAUCGCACAGAAGUAUGUCUUUUCUGCAUUCUGAAUGUUCCUUAAAUUGUAACCUAAACAAUGGCAGUAAGAUUGUUAGGUAUUCCUAAUAUGUAUUCAUUUUCUGUGCCAUAAUUUACAUACCAGUUCGGAAAGAUGGAAGAUCUUAAGUGCCUAGGAAAUAUGCUUCAUAGCCUCCUGCUAUGAGAUUAACAAGCAUCAAAACUAUCUAAAGAUAUGAAUCUACUUCAAGCUUAUAAUAGUCUACUCUUCCUAGUGGAGUGAACUGAACUUGCCCAUAAGCUAAAUGGAUUGCAUGUGAACUGAAUUGAUACAAAUGGUUGUACAACCUAAAGCAGCACCACCAAGCAUCAUUCAGAAGAUACAGACUCCAAUAUAUGUUAGAUGAAUCAAAAAGUCUCUCGAAUUAAAUAUAAAUAAAGAAUAUUUUAGCAACAAAAGAGAUAAUUUAUAGAAUAAUGCACCUAGUUUGUCCACAAACUUUUUAAAGAAACUGAAUUUGAGUUUCACAAAUGUCUAGAAAGAACUUUAGACUUGCUACAACAGAAACAAGCAUCAAACUCAUAUUACACGCUUGGAUAUAAAAGCAUAACAAUCUUUCUACAAUAUGCACCCCGACCAUUGAAUUUACUCCUAACAAAAAGACUGUCGAAAAACCAAAGGAAACCAACAAACGUGUGAUGACACAUCUGCCAGAAUAUAUGAUCCUGCCACAAAAACAUAUCACCUUGCAUACAAGAACAGAUCUGCCUAGAGGUGGUUAGAGUUAGACAACCACCAUCCAAACAAAUCCUGACUGCUGUUUACAUACUUGCAUAUGAAGGAAUCUGAUAUUGAGAAAGAUGAAACCACACAUGUAUGUGUUGCACCCCCAGUAAUGUAAGAAUCAAUAUACAAGCUUAGUUUUCAGUAUAACUAAUAAAUGCAUAAGAAUAAUACAUAUGCUAGAAAGAAAGACAUGACAGAAAAUUGAUGAGAGUUGUGCAAAUACUGACAAUUAAUGAUCAUCAGAGUGUCAAUGUCAAGUACCCAAACCAAUAAGUUCUAAAGUACAACAAACAUUCCUAUGAAAAUGAACUUACAAAGAGGCUGAAUAUAAAAGUUGCUGAUAGCAACUCAAGUCCUUUGUCUGCUAUGACCUACAAACAUAUAUGAAAAAUUGGAUCAAUAAUUUCACUAAUUAUGCAUUAUGCAAUAUAAAUUAAUAAAUUACAACAGCAUUAUAAGAGCACUAAAAUGUUGACUAUUAGAUGCUUGCAAAUUGAUAUUUUUACAGUAUCUAAAAUUGAAGAUUACUGACAAUUAUAUGAUCAAUAUUUAUAAUAUGGCAUUGUCUCUAAGGAACACAGAGAUGAUACAUGUUGUAAAAAUUAUCUAAAAAUAAAAUAAAUAUGAUAGGCUACAAGUUUUUCUUAAUUGUACUUCAAAGAAUUUGAUAUAAUUGGACUUUGCUUGGAAACAAGUUAAUUGACCAAAAUACUACAAACAUAGAUAACCAGUGUCAUGGAGAACUAACCCAUCACAAGGCAGUUUAGGUGAUCAGCUAUAACAAAUGAAAAUUUCACUCAGCACAAAAUAAAUCAUAAUGUAAUAGAAAAAAUGACAUGAUGAGAAAAAGCUGUUAGCAAAAAAAAAUGACAAGUCCAUCUCUGCUCCUGAACAUAAACCAAAUGAACAAAUUUUUGGAAGUCAAAAGAAAGGCUGUGGUUCAUAAAUGGUGGAAUGCUUAGAAACAAUAAGCAUGAAUAUCUAAAACAAGGAGGGUCAGAAAAAAGCAGAACCAGAAAAUUUAUCAACAGACUAAGAUUGUAUUUACAAUUAGUUCAUCUAUGUAACUUACACUUACCAGACAUGGAAGCCAAAAUUUCACCACAGUGUGAUUCCAUGACAAAAUUUGGGAUGAACCUCAGCUGAAAGGUCAGUUUUACCCAAACAAAGGUGAUAUUUUCACAUUCCAUCCUAUUCCUUUGCUAGAAUUUUUUAUUUGUAUCAGAAGAAAUUGGAGUUCAAAACUGACAAAGUCAACUAACGACAAAGAACUCCAAGCUACUUUAACAAAUCAAUUGCUUCUUCUGGCAAAAGUAGGCAAUUGACUACUAGGAAGCACUGAACUAAGUAUUCAAUUAUUAAAUAUAUUGAUAAAAUAGAUGUUAUAUUUUCUGUUUGUCUAUAAAAUAUUUCCAGAAUUUAAUAAUAUACUUGCAGAUCAAAGCAUGUGUAAGCUUGGACUUCCUUCUAACUUAUAAGAAUGUCCCAAAAAAAUCUGAUAAUAAACAAAUAGUAUUUGUGCCGAUACAAUUCACAAGGAGCUAAAAGCAAGAGAGUUGAGAAAUGCCCUGACAAAAAUAAGCAGAAAAACAAGAUCAUCCAUGUUUAUAUAAGUUGUACGUGAUUGAGCAUGUAAACCAUUGUGUGUAUAAGAGUAUAGAUAAAUACAGUUAAAAAAUGCAUACCACGGCAGACAUCAACUUCAUGUAAAUACCAAUCUCUAGAAGUGCCACUAACAGCAAAAGUGAUGCCAAACCUGAAAGGGAAGAAAGAGCAAGGAAAAAAAAAAUCUCAGAACCAUUGUCACAAUGUUGAAAAAUGGUACAUUGCAAGAUAUAUAACCAUAAGGAAAAGAAUCAAUAAAGCAUAGAAGACAUGAAUGGUCCAGAUAUUUCAAUUCCUACAUAUGUUUUAUAGGCACAAUUAAGGUGCUAUCUAUACUAACUUCAUGGGUCUCACUCUUUUUUCUUCCGUGCAUUUUAAUAUGUGUAUAACUUCCCAACCAACAACUUGCCAAAUUUUGAUAGAUCUGCUGGGAUCCACCAUUGUCCUAUGUUGAAAUCUUCCACACUUUCUCAAUCCUCCGCUCCAGAAUGGUGUAUACAUUCGACACAGUGAUCCCAAAGGAAAAACAGUUUGUUAAAACAAUUGGGGACAAGGAACCUAAAUUUUGGUUAAAGAUUAUAUCUAUUAUGCAGUAAUAAAUGGAGCAAUUCAUUAUCGUUAAACAAACUUACAGGUACACUCUGGACAAACGUGGUUCUUGCUAUCAAACAUAACAUCAAAGUAUUUUAACUUAGGUCACCUUCAGCCACAAACCAAGCUUUUGAUUAUUCAAAGGAAAAAAAAUCAAUAUUUCUCCAGGAAACACUCCCUUGAUAUUACAUCUAAGUCAUCUGACGAAGCUCAGUUCGUGCUGAACUUGCAAACAGUCUUAGAUACAAGUCUUUACAAUUACUGCAUCAUUUUAAACUCAUGUCACAUUUUCAGCAUUCACAAACCCAGCAGAUGCGAUAUGACAUUUCCACAAACACUUGUAGGCCUUGCGUUCCUCGGAAGAGAUCCCAGGUGCAUUAUGCAUUCAUUUAUUGCAAAAAAGCCAUUCUUUAAACAGAAGCGAUGCAACAAGACAAUCAAGAAGACAACAUAAUCAAGUGUUCUAUCAAGAGAACGCUCUCGGGUAUACAGUAAGCGGAGGAUGGGUGGAGGAUCGGCGGACCGUUGCAUCGGUAAUGGAGACGUGAGCCGUCUGAUAGAAGGGCGCCGGGGACGAUCUUUCCCGGAAGCACGGAUCCGGCGACAGCCAAAUACCCCAAAUAGCACGAAAGAAGAACGACCUAACAAGAAGAAAGAGAUUAUAUGCGCAAUCACAACUCUACAUAAAGAUGGCAGCAAGACCAGCAGGCCUUGGGCGUCGCUUCAUGCACUUACGG